Molecule: long non-coding RNA, 669 nt
Filed under: Malus domestica (apple)
Lineage: Eukaryota; Viridiplantae; Streptophyta; Magnoliopsida; Rosales; Rosaceae
Description: long non-coding RNA (MDOM_LNC005071)
Source: RNAcentral
AUAUAUUAUAUUAUGAUACGUGUAAUGGUAAAUCUACGAUCGCGAUAUCAAUGUACAAACAUUUUCAAUUGAUAUAUAUUUUUUUAUUCACAACACUAUUUUACAAUACAUUGUGAUAAUUUAGUUUAGUCAUACAAUAGCAUUAUAAAGCGGAGAAAUUUUUCAAGAUAUCAAUAACACGUUUCAAUAUAUCAUCUAUCAUAACACAAAUAGAUGAUACUUUUUAUUUUUAAAUAUCUAACCACUUAUAUGUACAUUUAAUGUGUAUGACCGUGUUUCCGAUAAACUGAUGUUAAACUUUUUAUGGGAUCGAAUUUGAAACUCCUUAGUUAAGAAUGGGCCGAAAUACCGUAAGCUGUGAUAGAAUCGACGGUUAUGAGAAUUGCAAAUUACGAGGAGAGUGUUGGGACCCCACAUGACAGCCAAGUUGCGUACAGCGUAACAGUAUAACGGGUACUUGUAACACGCGCCUCCAAGUUGCGACGACCGAACAUUCUCCAAAACAGGAAAGAAUAAUACAAAAUAAAUACAAAAUAAAAUAAAAUAAAUUGUUUUGGGGAGAAAAUGAAAAGACAAGAAAGUAGUUCACUUCAAAAAAGAACCUCGGACUUCGAGAUAUUUUAAAAUGUUUAGGUACUGUUGGAUUCUCUCUGUGGAUUCUGGCACGCG